Molecule: non-coding RNA, 557 nt
Organism: Cyanistes caeruleus (blue tit)
Lineage: Eukaryota; Metazoa; Chordata; Aves; Passeriformes; Paridae
Source: RefSeq, a predicted model, not a curated record
CUGCAAUUUACAGCCACAAAACAGCUGGUGAUAAAGUGAUAAAAUGACAUAAUGGAAGUCCCUUGGUCUUAGGAAAUUCCACCAACUUGAGCAUCCUAGAAUUAGAGAAAAGCACAUUCAAAAGGAAUUCCAGAGUUUUGAGAGACCAUUUUCGGAGAAUAAGUAAUUCUUCACUCAGGAAGAAUUCAGUGGAGCUAUAAGAACCCAGCUGCUGGAACAAAAAAUACUUUAAGCUGGUCCAUGACCUAUGAUGAAGCAGUACUUAUGGCAUCAGUCUAACACAGAAGAAUCACAGUGGAACAACCUACAAGUGAAAGUUACACAAGUAUAUUUGAUUUCUAUAAAGGAGAUCAAGGAAAACAUCAGUACUUAGUAUUCACUCAAGCAAUAUGAAAACAAAAUGCAUAAGAUCUGCCACAUAAAGAACAAUCAGAACUUCUGAGCAACGGAGGUUCAGAAUCCACCUGGCUUUCUACAGGAUUUUCACUGUUUGUAAAGGUAAGCAGUAACUUCAAGACAGACAACUCUUUUUUGUAUAAAUUAAUAUUUUUCUUUUC